GGGGAAACCCGGGGGGAAGGGGGAUUUGGGCCCAUUAGAACGUGGAGAGAAAAAGGGGGGGGAGAAACAGGUUUAAAACCCCUUGGUUUUCCCCCCCCCGUAAACGUUGGAAAAUUGGGUGUUGGGGAACUUCCCAGUUGUUGGGUGCCGCAGUAACCCCAUUAAGUUUCCCCCCCUGGGGAGUACGGCCCCAAGGGUUAAACUUAAAGGGAAUUGGAGGGGGGCCCGCCACCAAGCAGGCGGAGCAUGUGGGUUAAUUUUGGACGCAACGGGAAAAACCUUUACCAAGGCUUGACAUAUACCGGAAAAGCAUUAGAGAUAGUGCCCCCUUGUGGUCGGUAUACAGGUGGUGCAUGGCUGUGUCAGCUCGUGUCGUGAGAUGUUGGGUUAAGUCCCGCAACGAGCGCACCCUUGUCCUGUGUUGCCAGCAUGCCUUUCGGGGUGAUGGGGACUCACAGGAGACCGCCGGGGUCAACUCGGAGGAAGGUGGGGACGACGUCAAGUCAUCAUGCCCCUUAUGUCUUGGGCUGCACACGUGCUACAAUGGCCGGUACAAUGAGCUGCGAUACCGUGAGGUGGAGCGAAUCUCAAAAAGCCGGUCUCAGUUCGGAUUGGGGUCUGCAACUCGACCCCAUGAAGUCGGAGUUGCUAGUAAUCGCAGAUCAGCAUUGCUGCGGUGAAUACGUUCCCGGGCCUUGUACACACCGCCCGUCACGUCACGAAAGUCGGUAACACCCGAAGCCGGUGGCCCAACCCGUAAGGGAGGGAGCUGUCGAAGGUGGGACUGGCGAUUGGGACGAAGUCGUAACAAGGUAGCCGUACCGGAAGGUGCGGCUGGAUCACCUCCUUUCU
Molecule: ribosomal RNA, 852 nt
Filed under: Streptomyces himgiriensis
Lineage: Bacteria; Bacillati; Actinomycetota; Actinomycetes; Kitasatosporales; Streptomycetaceae
Description: partial 16S ribosomal RNA
Rfam family: Bacterial small subunit ribosomal RNA
Source: RNAcentral